CAGCCACUCACAACGAGUAAACUUUUUUAAAGAUCGACUGACUAAAAAUAAGCUUAUUCACAAAGGACGUUGUACUCGAAUAUUUUCUCGGUAUAACUACUAUGAUGACAUAUUUAAGGGCUUGUACCCAGGAUGCACACGGAAAUUUCCCGCACCACAAGACUUGACUGCCGAGUGGUCGUGCGAAGGAUUCAAAAUCAAACUCGCCAGUGGAACCGUGUUCAAAACGUUGAAAACAAAUCACUUUGAUAAAAAAUCGGAUUGGCCCGCAGGUUUUCUUGGGGUUCUAGUGAAGCGUGCGCCUUGUGGAUAUACGCUAAGCGCCUGAACAUUCUGGCUAUCCAAGUGUAUGGAAAAUCAAAACAAAGAAACAACAAAAGCAUUUUAAUGUUAGAUCUUUGGCAAAUAAAAUGUGCACAUUUAUUAAAAGAUAAAAUGUAGAGUUCAAAGAAAGAGAAUGACUAACUUGAUGAAAAUUUGAUAUUUACGAAAACUUCCAAUGAAUAAAAAAAAUCGUUGAAAAUAAAGUAUUUCAUUUA
Molecule: long non-coding RNA, 539 nt
Organism: Physella acuta
Lineage: Eukaryota; Metazoa; Mollusca; Gastropoda; Physidae
Source: RefSeq, a predicted model, not a curated record